This is a non-coding RNA of Osmia lignaria (orchard mason bee), 719 nucleotides long. The record is from RefSeq and is a predicted model, not a curated record. Lineage: Eukaryota; Metazoa; Arthropoda; Insecta; Hymenoptera; Megachilidae.
UGUUUCAUCCUCAGUUAUCAGAAAGUAAUUAAUUACAAGAUGUGAUAUGUUAGACAGAAAGUUUCAAUUGUGUGAAACACUAAUUUCAUUCGACGGCGGUAUCAUUCAACAUUGUUUCGAUACUUAAAACGUAUAAUUUAGUUCAAACAAUAAUUUACAUUUAAAACAAAAUAUUUCCAACAUUGACAAAUAAAUUUAAUGAAAGUAACAUUUAUCUUCCAUGUGUAUAUUUAUGUUCUUUGGAGAAAUAAUUCGUUGUAAGUACAAAGCAAAGCAAAUUGGAAAACAAUUACCUCUGACAUACUGUGAACGGUUCGAAAAGGAUCGAUUCAGCAGAUAUUGAAAUCACCGACAGAUUCCUAAUUGACAGUUUCGUAUGAUGCUGCAGUAUGCCGACCGACACGUAGUUACUGUUCUUAUCAAAACUAUACUCCAUAUAAAUUUUACAAUUUUGCAAUUAUUUAAACUUUUACAUUACUGAUCGUGCGAUCAAUUAUAUGACACAUUCUAUGAUGGAAGGGUUAAAAAAUGUUGAGAUUUAAGGAGAGGAAAAGGAAGGAAGUAACAGUAGGAAAACUAAGGGGAGAGGAGCAGUGCAAUAAAGGGCAGCAGCAUGAAUCCGAGUUUUGGAGGCAAAACGCGUGGCAAGGUAUACGCCAUACUCCUAAACGAUGCCCUGGAAUGGACCGGCUCGUAAACUCGGACCAAACUGAACAAAC